AGCAGCCGCGGUAAUUCCAGCUCCAAUAGCGUAUAUUAAAGUUGCUGCAGUUAAAAAGCUCGUAGUUGAAUUUCGGGACCAAUAUGUCGGUCGUGCCUCGGUACGUACUGGCAUCGUUGGUUUCUCCCUUCUGACGAACCAUGAUGUCAUUUAUUUGGUGUCGUGGGGAAUCAGGACUGUUACUUUGAAAAAAUUAGAGUGUUUAAAGCAGGCUCACGCUUGAAUACAUUAGCAUGGAAUAAUGAAAUAGGACGUUUGAUUCUAUUUUGUUGGUUUCUAGGAUCGACGUAAUGAUUAAUAGGGAUAGUUGGGGGCAUUAGUAUUCAAUUGUCAGAGGUGAAAUUCUUGGAUUUAUUCAAGACUAACUACUGCGAAAGCAUUUGCCAAGGAUGUUUUCAUUAAUCAAGAACGAAAGUUAGGGGAUCGAAGACGAUCAGAUACCGUCGUAGUCUUAACCAUAAACUAUGCCGACUAGGGAUCGGAUGAUGUUAAUUUUUUAAUGACUCAUUCGGCGUACCCG
This 520-nucleotide ribosomal RNA is filed under the name uncultured Glomus. Its description in RNAcentral is "SSU rRNA". It matches the Rfam family "Eukaryotic small subunit ribosomal RNA", at positions 569 to 1089 of the family's 1831-position model. Lineage: Eukaryota; Fungi; Glomeromycota; Glomeromycetes; Glomerales; Glomeraceae. The record is from RNAcentral.